RNAcentral lists this ribosomal RNA (253 nucleotides) under uncultured bacterium. RNAcentral's name for it is "partial 16S ribosomal RNA". It matches the Rfam family "Bacterial small subunit ribosomal RNA", at positions 524 to 776 of the family's 1533-position model. The record is from RNAcentral.
UACGAAGGGGGCUAGCGUUGCUCGGAAUCACUGGGCGUAAAGCGCACGUAGGCGGAUUGCUAAGUCAGGGGUGAAAUCCUGGAGCUCAACACCAGAACUGCCUUUGAUACUGGCGACCUUGAGUCCGGGAGAGGUGAGUGGAACUGCGAGUGUAGAGGUGAAAUUCGUAGAUAUUCGCAAGAACACCAGUGGCGAAGGCGGCUCACUGGCCCGGUACUGACGCUGAGGUGCGAAAGCGUGGGGAGCAAACAGG